This 381-nucleotide ribosomal RNA is filed under the name uncultured soil bacterium. RNAcentral describes it as "bacterial SSU rRNA". It matches the Rfam family "Bacterial small subunit ribosomal RNA", at positions 26 to 402 of the family's 1533-position model. The record is from RNAcentral.
AGAUUGAACGCUGGCGGCAUGCCUUACACAUGCAAGUCGAACGGCAGCACGGGAGCAAUCCUGGUGGCGAGUGGCGAACGGGUGAGUAAUAUAUCGGAACGUGCCCAGUCGUGGGGGAUAACGCAGCGAAAGCUGUGCUAAUACCGCAUACGAUCUAUGGAUGAAAGCGGGGGAUCGCAAGACCUCGCGCGAUUGGAGCGGCCGAUAUCAGAUUAGCUAGUUGGUAGGGGUAAAAGCCUACCAAGGCGACGAUCUGUAGCUGGUCUGAGAGGACGACCAGCCACACUGGAACUGAGACACGGUCCAGACUCCGUACGGGAGCAGCAGGUGGGUAAUUUUGGACAAGUGGGCGACAAGCCUGAUCCAGACAAGUGACCGCGU